Molecule: long non-coding RNA, 1228 nt
Filed under: Rattus norvegicus (Norway rat)
Lineage: Eukaryota; Metazoa; Chordata; Mammalia; Rodentia; Muridae
Description: long non-coding RNA NONRATT025232
Source: RNAcentral
GUUUCAUGGCAGUUUUUCUCCUUUUAACCUUAUAACAGUCUUAGGCUAGAAAAGUCACUAUCAUCAUCAUCAUCAUCAUCAUCAUCAUCAUCAUCAUUAUCAUCCUUACUACAUUUAUACAUGAAGAAAUUGAACCUUAUGGAAAUGUUGUAUCUUGGUCAUUAUUGUACAAUGUGUAAGAUUUCUUUAGGUGACAGUUUCCUAUGGCCCAGGCUAAUCUGCAACUUUCAUCCAUUUCCUGAAUGCUGGGUCAUUUUUAAUGGCGUGCACCAGUACAUAAGACCAUCAUCUGACAAGAUGUGUAUACUGUAGUGUGUUUUCAAAGCAGAGUUUCUUUUUAUUAAUAAGAUGGUUGUUAGAGUGGGGCCACCAUAUUCCUGUUGCCAUUCUUUCACUUUGAAGAACAGAAAGAAGUGCUUGUAAUGGUGCCAUUCUUCAUUUUGGAGAGCAAAUAUUGGUUGACUUCUUCAUUUAUAAUGAUUAGAGCAUUAAGUCAUAGGCAGCUAGGCUGGGCUUUUAUUUUCAGCCCUUUAACAACUUUAAUUCUAGUCCUGGGGAGACUGAGACAGGUAAAUCUCAGUGAGUUUGAGACUACUGUGCUCCACAGAGUGAGUUUUAGGACAGCCAAUGCUACAGAGUGGAACCCAAGUGUGGCAGAUUUCAGUAAUCCUAGCACUUGAGCAUCUGAGGCAAAAGAUUAGAAGUUUAAGGUCACCCUAGGUUACAUGGCAUGAGAGGGUUGGGUGAGAAGCAACUUGUAACGAGGUGUGGUGUCCCACACGCCUUUAUCCCAGCACUCAGGCAGAGGUUGGUGUAGGCCAGUCUGGUCUACAGAAUGAGUUACAAGACAGCCAGAGCUAUACAGACACAGAGAAACCUUGUCUUGAAAAUUCAAUUUAAAAAAAAUAAAAAAUGCAACCUGGAAAUAAUGAUUGACCUGCCUUUAGUGAUUAAUGUCCCAGGAUUAAAAGCUAAUAGAGCCAAACAUGAUGUUACUUGCCUUAGCAUUAGGGAGGCAGACAAAUCUCUCUUAAGUUCCAAGCCAGCCAGAGCUACACAGUAAAAUCCUGUCUCAAAGUAAAGCAGACUAACCCCAGUCACAAAAAUAUAUCCCUACCGUUUAGAGAUUUUGCAUCUUUGUUUUGUUUCUUUAUAACGUAAGUUAUUUUAUUUUACUAUUUUUAGGUUAUGGCACAUAGUUCACCACAGAGCAUUUUAGAUGAUGUUG